UCCGGGAUAGUUCAAUGGUAGAACGCUUCACUGUUAAUGAAGAUGCUGCCGGUUCGAAUCCGGCUCCCGGAG
Molecule: transfer RNA, 72 nt
Filed under: Parcubacteria group bacterium SW_6_46_9
Lineage: Bacteria
Description: tRNA-Asn
Rfam family: tRNA
About the family: Transfer RNA (tRNA) molecules are approximately 80 nucleotides in length. Their secondary structure includes four short double-helical elements and three loops (D, anti-codon, and T loops).
Source: RNAcentral